CAGCAGCCGCGGUAAUACGUAGGUGGCAAGCGUUGUCCGGAAUUAUUGGGCGUAAAGGGCUCGCAGGCGGUUUCUUAAGACUGAUGUGAAAGCCCCCGGCUCAACCGGGGAGGGUCAUUGGAAACUGGGAAACUUGAGUGCAGAAGAGGAGAGUGGAAUUCCACGUGUAGCGGUGAAAUGCGUAGAGAUGUGGAGGAACACCAGUGGCGAAGGCGACUCUCUGGUCUGUAACUGACGCUGAGGAGCGAAAGCGUGGGGAGCGAACAGGAUUAGAUACCCCCGUAGUCCCUGUCUCUUAUAA
This 301-nucleotide ribosomal RNA is filed under the name uncultured bacterium. RNAcentral's name for it is "partial 16S ribosomal RNA". It matches the Rfam family "Bacterial small subunit ribosomal RNA", at positions 509 to 809 of the family's 1533-position model. The record is from RNAcentral.